UGGGGAAUAUUGGACAAUGGGGGGAACCCUGAUCCAGCCAUGCCGCGUGUGUGAAGAAGGCCUUAUGGAUGUAAAGCACUUUAAGCGAGGAGGAGGGUACUGGUAUUAAUACUACCAGCUACUGGACGUUACUCGCAGAAUAAGCACCGGCUAACUCUGUGCCAGCAGCCGCGGUAAUACAGAGGGUGCGAGCGUUAAUCGGAUUUACUGGGCGUAAAGCGUGCGUAGGCGGCUAAUUGAGUCGGAUGUGAAAUCCCCGAGCUUAACUUGGGAAUUGCAUUCGAUACUGGUUAGCUAGAGUGUGGGAGAGGAUGGUAGAAUUCCAGGUGUAGCGGUGAAAUGCGUAGAGAUCUGGAGGAAUACCGAUGGCGAAGGCAGCCAUCUGGCCUAACACUGACGCUGAGGUACGAAAGCAUGGGGAGCAAACAGG
Molecule: ribosomal RNA, 430 nt
Filed under: Pseudomonadota bacterium
Lineage: Bacteria; Pseudomonadati; Pseudomonadota
Description: Proteobacteria bacterium partial 16S ribosomal RNA
Rfam family: Bacterial small subunit ribosomal RNA
Source: RNAcentral